UUGUAGAUUUUUUUCUCAAAUUGUAUUUGAUCACCGAGUGAAUUUAGUGUUCGCUCAAGUCCGUGGGCUGACUGCUUGGAAAUGGCUCUGCCUGUCUUUGGAGAAGUUACGGCAGAGACAGCGGCAGAGCAAUUGCCACAGAUUAUUUCCCAAUCUGCUGCCGGCCUCCUUUGGAAGAGCACCAUCAUUUCAGCCUCCAUUUCCACUUUUUGCUGAGGCUGCUGCUUACAAAGAUACUAAUUGCGAUGGCGGGUUUUAUGUUAAUGGGUUCCACGUAAUGAUCAGCCCGACGACUACAGACCUUCAGAUUGUUGGUUGGCUGCGCUGGGAAUAAAACUAAUGGCAUUUGGUUAUGAAAAUGUCAGAUCUCUACAUGGUGAUCUGAACUGGGGGCUCAAUGAGACCGAAAUCCAAGAGCCUCCACGCGACUGCCGUGGGGCUGGACCCAGGGAUGCCCUUGGACAAGGGAACUCCUUCUCCCCCAGCAGUGCUGUGCCUUGGGGGAGGGCAGCUCCUUGCUGGGAUGAUGCUGGAGAGGAUUGGGGUGCCUGGCUGGGGUCCCCCCUGCUCCGGGGAGAGGGUGUGGGGUGCUGGGAGCGACAGCUGGGGACGGAGCAGGGAUGGAGCUGCGCGAGCCUCCAAAUUCUGACUAACGCCGUAACCGGUUUGGUAGCUCUAAAAUAGGAUUUUAAUCCUGGGAAGCAUCAUUUCACAUUCCAGUGAUCUAAUCAAAAUCCUUUCCUCUAAUCUCUCCAUGGUCCCCCCUUUCUAGAUGAAAGAGGCUGGAGUUCCUGUCUUCACCCUUUCUCCGCUGCCUCCCUGUUCUACCAGUCUGUUCUGUGUCCAGGCAACUGCAAAAAGACAUUUCAAAGGCUCCUGCCGUGCCAUGUAGAUGUUUUCUCUUGUUAGUUUGGACUGCAGGAUCAAGUCCCUCGUUUGCCAUUUUGUGUGGCAGCAAGCCCAAGGAAAUCUUGCUUGACAGCUCUGUUUUCUCAAAGUGCUGCAUUUCUUCGGGCUGGAUUCUGUAAAGAUCCUGCAGGCUACAGAGCUCCUUGGAGCAAGCGAUAAUGUGCUUUGCGUUCCUGCUGAAAUGUACCUGUGUACGAUGGGAGAGGGAGCUUGGAAAACUGGCUGCACCCUGGCAAGGAGAUGGUUGGAAUAAAGUUUUCUUGUGUUAUAAUGUUUUGAGGAAUCAUUCUCAUCUGUUCGUUUGAGGAAGGUUUUUCUAAAGUUAGAUUUGAUCUGUGUAAAUGCUAACUUCUUUCAACAGGCACUAAUAGAGUACUGGAAAAGGAAACACAGUGAAUUUGAAGUUUAAAUCUCAAAUGAUGGCAGCAAUCAGCAAUACAUCCAAAAUAUUUGUAAGUAUGUUGUACAGAUUUCUUUUUAGGAAUUGGAUGAAAAUCACAUUAAAAUCUGUUACUUAUUAAUGUCUUAAGAUCUCACUGAUGCAGCUCUUUAAUGAACAUAUUUACACUUUGGGCCAUCACAGAAAAUUGUCCUUGUUAUUCUUCAUGUCAUCAUCUGGAAUAUUGAAGAAAAUGGAUCUUUAUUCCAAAGGUCCCAAACUGGUUGGGAGCAGUUCCUUAGCACAGCUGCUCCCCUGGGCAUCAGUGUGCAUUCAUGAGGAUAUUUUGGACAAUGAGUCCAGUAUUGAUCACUGGACUUAGGCUUCUCUUUGCCUUAAUGAACCUGGCUGAUUUUCUUGGCCAGGACUGAAAGAUGAGGUGCUGCUUCUCCCAGCACUUGUAACUUGAGUGUCUCUUCUCCAAGGAUCCUUGUGGUUUAUUCCUUCUCAUUUUCAAACUGACUCCCAAAUUUUUAUCAGUUCUCCUAAAAGAGUUCCUCCAGAGCCUUCUCUGUACCCAUGUCUGCUCCUUGUCCGGGCCCUUCCCUCCUCACUUCAUGGCUCUCAUCUUUGCAUCUUCUUCAGCUGAUUCUUGUCCCUGGCUGCCUGUGCCCACUGGAAAGGAACUCCUGAUUCCAAAACCCCAGCCCUCUCCACUGUGGAAAUGCCCUCCUGUUCACCUAAAACUGGAUUUGAGAUAUCCUUUUCUGCUCUGUGCCAUUGCCCAGCGAGAUUCCACAGGGAUGGCAGGGAGCAGAGACAUCCAAACAGAUAAUUUAUGUUCCUGGGAGAUUUAGUCCAAAUUAAGAUCAAAACUCAUAUAUGUCUUCCAAAUCACAGAUUUAUUUUUUUUCCCAAUUAUUGUCAAUGACUCUAAUUCUGCUUGAUUUAUAUCUCUGGUAGUAGCCAGAGGUUUUGCAGCACAUAAAUUGCCUGAGGGUUUGGCCAGUGAUGUGGACACUGUGACAUGUAGAAGCUCAGGAAAGCUCCUGAGCAGAAAAUGGUUGGAAACAGAGAAAAUAGCAGGGAGAAGGAUCCUCCAUGCCUGCACACGAUUACCUGGGUGUCCAGCUGUGGUCACUCAGCUGGAUGGACCCUUGUUUUCUCAACCAACAUGCCAAUUCCCACAUUCUUUGGUAAAUUGGUAGAGUUUUAGCAGAAAUCAUGUUGAUGGCAGCACACAUGAUCCAAGCACAAAAUCCUGUGGUUUCUGUUAUCCUGUGAGCACUGCACAGCCACAGAUACACUCUGGCAGGUGGAAGAGAAGAAAGCAAUCCUCACAGAGGGCAGGGAAAACAGCCACAAUUAAAAGCAAAGUAAAUUUGCGUGGUGUGGUUACUUGCUGGUUAACUCUGAAGACGCUUAUGAGGAUCCAGCAUAACCCACAACAGAUCUUCCUUGAGGAUUUGUGGAUUAACCCACACCAACACAAACAUGGGAUGGCAUUGCAGUGGUGUCUCUGCCAUGUGCAGCUACUAAAGACCCCCAAAAGGGCUCCCACAACAUUUCUCUCAAAUAGCUGCUUUUCUCAACCUGUGUUCCAUCCAGAUGCAUGGUUGUGUUUUGGCCAACAUCUGGAACAGCAGAAAGAAUUAGAGGAGGAAAGGAUCUCUUGGGUUAUGGACUGGAGCUGGACUGAGUAAAUUUCAUACUGAAUUUCUCUCAGGGUCUGGUUCACCCCAGCUUUAAUUUCUCAGCACUGUUCUUGCCUUCUCAUCCUAUAUCCCAUGCACAGGAUGGUACCAGAGCCAGGAUUUUGUUGGAUAGGAGGCACAUCGAGCCCUUCUCUGACCUCAUGCUCCAAGCAGCACUCUUCUCUCUGACUUAGGCUGGUCUUGAUUUGGGAAUUACCUUUUCUGCCCUCUAAAGGGAUCAGCAGACAAGUUAGUAGGUUAUGUUCCCAGGAAAAAUUCCUACUUUUUUUUCACUUGAAAACUUGUCAUGAUUUUUACCCUUUUAUUGGUUUCUCUUAGAGGUUUGGGUUUUGCACAUCUUGCUAUUCCUAUCAUGAGCCCUCACCCACUUCAUGCAGCCACUUCCUCACUUCAAGUUCUUGCUUUUCCCCUCUCCCUCCCUCCUCAGGUACAUUUUGGCUGUGCUUUUGCCUCCACUAACUCUAUCCCAGCCAGGUAUUUCUCCCAAUUCUCUGCUGAAUCUUCAGCUCCAAUAUUCCACAUAUUACUUUGGAAUAAGGAUCUAAAGCCUGCAUUAUUAGUUUAAAUGCCUUUUUGUGUUCUGAACCUCACCUGGGCUUAUUCUGUUUGUCUGAGCCACUCUCCCAGUGGCAGGAGAGCUGGUUUGGUGGCUGUGGCUGGGGACAGGAGUUGUGGCUGGCUGCUGGCACAGGGCUCUUCGUGGCAUGAAAGGAGUCCUUGGAUCCUCCCUCAGUUUCUCCAUUUUUUACAGCAACAGUGGUCACUGGGAGAUCAAAAUCUCGUGGUGGCUGUCAGGCACUCCACCUCGAGGGUUGCAGGGCAGGGAAGCAGCGAGGAGAAGGACGAAAAGUACAGAUAAAGCAGCUCAGAGCUGCUCACUCACCUCCAGUUCCCCUUUCCCUCCCUUCCACAGAAGUGGCUGAGUGCAGAGCUGAGCUGCCUUGGCAAAGGGGAGAGAAGAAAGGUUUUUAUUUCACUUUCCAAACACAAACACUUCACGUGGGAUGAAAGAAGGGAACACCCCUCUGCUCCUUUCCUCCAGCUGGGCUUUCUGGUCCCAUUGUCCCCCCUCGGUGGGUCCCCCACAGGCACCUACAUUGUGAUUUGUGGUGUUUUGGGUGUCUGAGGUGCUUUGUCCUCCAAUAAUGAGGGUGAGGUUUCAUUUGGGGAAGCACAUCUUUUCUUAGAAAUACGAACACUGUGACUGACUUAGCACAACUGUGAUUUUCUGCAAACACAACUGUGUUUGGGGUGGUUGCAUGCGAAUGCUGGGGAAGGAGAAACAGUAAUUCUGAAUUAAUGCAGAAAGGGAGAAAAUAGACACGCUUAGAGGAAGCCCUGAGUUCACUGCAGCUGUCAUACACUGGCAAAACUGAUGCUGUGUCCCACAGGAAACAUUUCAGUGUGGAGAACCUCCUGGUUGAAGGGAGCCUACCUGCGCCUGUUGUGACACACGAGUGAGCCAAAGUGCUCGGGGUAGCACAUCAAUCCAGUCUUUCUUUAGUAACAUGUAUGAAAUAAAUUGGGUUUUUUUCCCCCCUGG
Molecule: long non-coding RNA, 4546 nt
Organism: Cyanistes caeruleus (blue tit)
Lineage: Eukaryota; Metazoa; Chordata; Aves; Passeriformes; Paridae
Source: RefSeq, a predicted model, not a curated record